Molecule: ribosomal RNA, 395 nt
Filed under: uncultured Burkholderia sp.
Lineage: Bacteria; Pseudomonadati; Pseudomonadota; Betaproteobacteria; Burkholderiales; Burkholderiaceae
Description: partial 16S ribosomal RNA
Source: RNAcentral
GGGAACGUAUUCACCGCGGCAUGNUGAUCCGCGAUUACUAGCGAUUCCAGCUUCACGCACUCGAGUUGCAGAGUGCGAUCCGGACUACGAUCGGUUUUCUGGGAUUGGCUCCACCUCGCGGCUUGGCAACCCUCUGUUCCGACCAUUGUAUGACGUGUGAAGCCCUACCCAUAAGGGCCAUGAGGACUUGACGUCAUCCCCACCUUCCUCCGGUUUGUCACCGGCAGUCUCCCUAGAGUGCUCUUGCGUAGCAACUAGGGACAAGGGUUGCGCUCGUUGCGGGACUUAACCCAACAUCUCACGACACGAGCUGACGACAGCCAUGCAGCACCUGUGUUAUGGCUCCCUUUCGGGCACUCCCACCUCUCAGCAGGAUUCCAUACAUGUCAAGGGUA